AGAAAUCUUCAGGGCGGGGUGCAAUUCCCCACCGGCGGUAAAGCCCGCGAGCGACCUUGGUUGCCGAUUCGGUGAAAUUCCGAAGCCGACAGUAUAGUCUGGAUGAAAGAAGAUAAAC
Regulatory RNA element from Clostridium sp. CAG:62, 118 nucleotides. It matches the Rfam family "FMN riboswitch aptamer (RFN element)". Rfam says of the family: The RFN element is a highly conserved domain that is found frequently in the 5'-untranslated regions of prokaryotic mRNAs that encode for flavin mononucleotide (FMN) biosynthesis and transport proteins. This element is a metabolite-dependent riboswitch that directly binds FMN in the absence of proteins. In Bacillus subtilis, the riboswitch most likely controls gene expression by causing premature transcription termination within the 5' untranslated region of the ribDEAHT operon and precluding access to the ribosome-binding site of ypaA mRNA. The record is from Rfam. NCBI's taxonomy places the organism in Bacteria, Bacillati, Bacillota, Clostridia, Eubacteriales, Clostridiaceae.